This 253-nucleotide ribosomal RNA is filed under the name uncultured Beggiatoa sp. RNAcentral describes it as "partial 16S ribosomal RNA". It matches the Rfam family "Bacterial small subunit ribosomal RNA", at positions 524 to 776 of the family's 1533-position model. Lineage: Bacteria; Pseudomonadati; Pseudomonadota; Gammaproteobacteria; Thiotrichales; Thiotrichaceae. The record is from RNAcentral.
UACAGAGGGUGCAAGCGUUAAUCGGAAUUACUGGGCGUAAAGCGUGCGUAGGUGGUUAACUAAGUCAGAUGUGAAAUCCCUGGGCUCAACCUGGGAACUGCAUUUGAUACUGGUUAGCUAGAGUUUGGUAGAGGGAAGUGGAAUUCCACGUGUAGCGGUGAAAUGCGUAGAUAUGUGGAGGAACAUCAGUGGCGAAGGCGGCUUCCUGGACUAAAACUGACACUGAGGCACGAAAGCGUGGGGAGCAAACAGG